GCGCCCAUAACUCAGCGGACAGAGUAUCUGCCUUCUAAGCAGAGAGUCACAGGUUCAAAUCCUGUUGGGCGUACCA
This 76-nucleotide transfer RNA is filed under the name Treponema sp. RNAcentral describes it as "tRNA-Arg". It matches the Rfam family "tRNA". From Rfam's summary of the family: Transfer RNA (tRNA) molecules are approximately 80 nucleotides in length. Their secondary structure includes four short double-helical elements and three loops (D, anti-codon, and T loops). The record is from RNAcentral. RNAcentral also lists the same sequence under 1 other name. Lineage: Bacteria; Pseudomonadati; Spirochaetota; Spirochaetia; Treponematales; Treponemataceae.